This 632-nucleotide non-coding RNA is filed under the name Mesocricetus auratus (golden hamster). Its description in RNAcentral is "Eukaryotic small subunit ribosomal RNA". It matches the Rfam family "Eukaryotic small subunit ribosomal RNA", at positions 476 to 1085 of the family's 1831-position model. The record is from Rfam by way of RNAcentral. Lineage: Eukaryota; Metazoa; Chordata; Mammalia; Rodentia; Cricetidae.
AAUCAUGUGUGGUCUUUUGGGACUCACUGUUUUUGUUACCAACGCCAACGCAGGACGUGUUCAAGCUUCUACAACUGGAGUGAGUUCACUCUGAGUCCUUUAAGUAGGAUCCAUUGGAGGGCAAGUGCUGCCAGGAGCCACCCCAGCUCCACCUGCAAGAACAUCUACUAAUGUUGCUGCAGUUAAAAGUCUCCUAGAUGGAUCUUGGCCAUGGGCCAGGUCCCCACUGCAAGGCCAGGCCAGCCACUGCUAUCCUUGACCUUUGCCUCAGCUGACUCUUUGAUGCUUAGCUGAGCGCUUCCUGGGGCCCUCAAACAUUUACUUAACAAACUUAGAUGACUCAAAGCAAGUCAGAAUUUUCCGGAUAAAGUGUGAGAGAAUUGUGGGCUAGGACCAUAGUUCUGUCUCUGGUUUCUGGUACUGAGGCCAUGAGUAAGAGGGAGGUCAAGGGCAAGCAGUGUGCCACCAGAGUGAAGUUCUUGGAUGAGCACAAAUGGACCAGGGUCAGAGUGAAAGCUUUCAGUAGUCAAGAAUGAAAGUUGGGGUUUUGAAUGCAAUCACAUAUGAUCGUAGUUCUAGCCAUAAACCUGUGACUCAUUUAAAGUCCAUUCAUGUUACUUCAGGAAUUAGUA